ACGGCUCAGUAACACGUAGUCAAUCUAACCUAUGGACGGGGAUAACCUCGGGAAACUGAGGAUAAACCCCGAUAGAUCAUAAUGCCUGGAACGGUUUAUGGUCCAAAUGAUUCGUCGCCGUAGGGUGGGACUGCGGCCUAUCAGCUUGUUGGUGAGGUAAUGGCCCACCAAGGCUAUUACAGGUACGGGCUCUGAGAGGAGAAGCCCGGAGAUGGGUACUGAGACACGGACCCAGGCCCUAUGGGGCGCAGCAGGCGAGAAACCUUUGCAAUGUGCGCAAGCACGACAAGGUUAAUCCGAGUGUUUCCUGCUAAAGGAAUCUUUUGUUAGUUCUAAAACCACUGAUGAAUAAGGGGUGGGCAAGUUCUGGUGUCAGCCGCCGCGGUAAAACCAGCACCUCAAGUGGUCAGGAUGAUUAUUGUGCCUAAAGCAUCCGUAGCCUGUUCUGUAAGUUUCCGGUUAAAUCCAUUAGCUCAACUAAUGGGCUGCCGAAAAUACUGCAAAACUAGGGAGUGGGAGAGGUAGACGGUACUCGGUAGGAAGGGGUAAAAUCCUUUGAUCUAUUGAUGACCACCUGUGGCGAAGGCGGUCUACCAGAACACGUUCGACGGUGAGGGAUGAAAGCUGGGGGAGCAAACCGGAUUAGAUACCCGGGUAGUCCCAGCUGUAAACGAUGCAGACUCGGUGAUGCCCUGGCUUGUGGCCAGUGCAGUGCCGCAGGGAAGCCGUUAAGUUUGCCGCCUGGGAAGUACGUACGCAAGUAUGAAACUUAAAGGAAUUGGCGGGGGAGCACCACAAGGGGUGAAGCCUGCGGUUCAAUUGGAGACAACGCCGGA
Molecule: ribosomal RNA, 836 nt
Filed under: uncultured archaeon
Lineage: Archaea
Description: bacterial SSU rRNA
Rfam family: Archaeal small subunit ribosomal RNA
Source: RNAcentral